Molecule: ribosomal RNA, 253 nt
Filed under: uncultured bacterium
Lineage: Bacteria
Description: partial 16S ribosomal RNA
Rfam family: Bacterial small subunit ribosomal RNA
Source: RNAcentral
GACGUAGGGUGCAAGCGUUGUCCGGAUUUACUGGGCGUAAAGAGCGCGUAGGCGGCUCGUUAAGUGAGAAGUGAAAGCUGUGGGCUCAACCCACAAACCGCUUUUCAUACUGGCGAGCUGGAGUGAUGCAGAGGUGGAUAGAAUUCCCGGUGUAGCGGUGAAAUGCGUUGAUAUCGGGAGGAACAUCAGUUGCGAAGGCGGCUCUCUGGACCAGCACUGACACUGAGGCACGAAAGCCAGGGGAGCAAACGGG